GGGGCCGACCUGGUUUCGACGUGAAUUGCAAAGCAAGUAGGGCAUACCGAGGACCCGUCACCUCGUAAAUCAAUGGGAAAAAAGUAAACGCAAACGACGAACGUUUCGCUCUAGCCGCCUAAUCCCGGCUGGACGCUGCACUGAUUGGCCUCUGGGUCAGGUGGGGUAACUCACAGCAGCGUCAUUCACAGAGGCUCGCUCCCCCUUGGGUUGCUUAAGGGUGAGCUAAAUCUAAGGCAACUGGUUGUGUGUCGGCCUGCUGAUUGGCUAAGCACACAAUAAGAUUCAAAUAAACCAGCUAAGUAUGUAGAACUAUUUGUAGAGGAUUGACGGACGCGGGUUCGAUUCCCGCCGGCUCCACCA
RNAcentral lists this transfer-messenger RNA (363 nucleotides) under Parvibium lacunae. RNAcentral describes it as "Standard tmRNA". It matches the Rfam family "transfer-messenger RNA". Rfam says of the family: Bacterial tmRNA, also known as 10Sa RNA or SsrA, is named for its dual tRNA and mRNA-like properties. Its role is to liberate the mRNA from a stalled ribosome. The record is from Rfam by way of RNAcentral. Lineage: Bacteria; Pseudomonadati; Pseudomonadota; Betaproteobacteria; Burkholderiales; Alcaligenaceae.